GUAAUAUAAGAUACGGUCUCUUAGCGUUUAACUAAAAAAACUAAGAGACGUCUUUUAAAUAAGAGAUAUAAGAGAUAUCUCUUAGUUUUAUAGUUAAAAGCUAAGAGAAUGUAUCUUAUAUUAC
Molecule: non-coding RNA, 124 nt
Organism: Brassica napus (rape)
Lineage: Eukaryota; Viridiplantae; Streptophyta; Magnoliopsida; Brassicales; Brassicaceae
Source: Rfam